UGUAAACCAAUCCGAAUACCCAUGUUGC
This 28-nucleotide small RNA is filed under the name Bombyx mori (domestic silkworm). RNAcentral's name for it is "ovarian small RNA-8867". Lineage: Eukaryota; Metazoa; Arthropoda; Insecta; Lepidoptera; Bombycidae. The record is from RNAcentral.